RNAcentral lists this ribosomal RNA (507 nucleotides) under Enterobacter hormaechei. Its description in RNAcentral is "partial 23S ribosomal RNA". It matches the Rfam family "Bacterial large subunit ribosomal RNA", at positions 1271 to 1780 of the family's 2925-position model. The record is from RNAcentral. Lineage: Bacteria; Pseudomonadati; Pseudomonadota; Gammaproteobacteria; Enterobacterales; Enterobacteriaceae.
UGCUGGAGGUAUCAGAAGUGCGAAUGCUGACAUAAGUAACGAUAAAGCGGGUGAAAAGCCCGCUCGCCGGAAGACCAAGGGUUCCUGUCCAACGUUAAUCGGGGCAGGGUGAGUCGACCCCUAAGGCGAGGCCGAAAGGCGUAGUCGAUGGGAAACAGGUUAAUAUUCCUGUACUUGGUGUUACUGCGAAGGGGGGACGGAGAAGGCUAUGUCAGCCGGGCGACGGUUGUCCCGGUUUAAGCAUGUAGGCGGAGGUUCCAGGUAAAUCCGGUACCUUAUUAACGCUGAGGUGUGAUGACGAGGCACUACGGUGCUGAAGUGAUAAAUGCCCUGCUUCCAGGAAAAGCCUCUAAGCAUCAGGUAACACGAAAUCGUACCCCAAACCGACACAGGUGGUCAGGUAGAGAAUACCAAGGCGCUUGAGAGAACUCGGGUGAAGGAACUAGGCAAAAUGGUGCCGUAACUUCGGGAGAAGGCACGCUGAUGUGUAGGUGAAGCCCCUGCGGG